GUGCCAGCCGCCGCGGUAAUACGUAGGUGGCAAGCGUUGUCCGGAUUUACUGGGCGUAAAGGAUGUGUAGGCGGAUAUUUAAGUGAGAUGUGAAAUCCCCGGGCUUAACUUGGGGGCUGCAUUUCAAACUGGAUGUCUGGAGUGCAGGAGAGGAAAGCAGAAUUCCUAGUGUAGCGGUGAAAUGCGUAGAGAUUAAGAAGAAAACCAGGGGCUAAGGCGGGUUUCU
RNAcentral lists this ribosomal RNA (226 nucleotides) under uncultured bacterium. RNAcentral's name for it is "partial 16S rRNA". It matches the Rfam family "Bacterial small subunit ribosomal RNA", at positions 505 to 730 of the family's 1533-position model. The record is from RNAcentral.